Long non-coding RNA from Equus asinus (donkey), 6384 nucleotides. NCBI's taxonomy places the organism in Eukaryota, Metazoa, Chordata, Mammalia, Perissodactyla, Equidae. The record is from Ensembl.
AUUUUCCUCUCACAAAGUACAUCCACAUCCAUUUGCCUCCAGGACCCAGCUAGGCAGAGAGCAGGAAGUCCAUUCAAGAGAUGAGGAAACUGAGACCACAACAUACCCAAACUCACACCUGUUUUUUUCUUGAUCCUCAGCCUUUGCAUUUAUCUUGGGAAAACACAUUCCUCUUCAGCUUUGAGGCCUUGGCUUAAAGGUCACUUCAGCCAGGAGGUCCCCGGUCUCCCCAGCUGCAGGGCCUCACAUGCAGGAAGGACAUAAGGAAGAUUUGCUGAAGGAAGGACGGAAGAAAUGAAUGAGCCACCAAAGUGCCAGAUUUUCUGAUCGCCAGUCUAGUGCUGGCAGGAAGGACACUGCAAAGGACAGGGCAAAGCCGCCCAGUGCGGACAUUUCAGCUGUCGGUGCACAGGGACCCAAUGCAUGCCUGGUGUACUGACCCAAGAGCAAGCAGGUAAGCCCUCCCUCUCCCCUCUGCAGAGAACGUGUGGGACCGACCCAGGAAAUCAUGGGAGAUGGGGGGGCAGACAGGAGAGAGUGGGGAAGGUGUAGCUCUGGGGUGUUAGGACUUCCUUCAGGGGAGACAGGAAGCCUGAGUGGAGACAGAACACUGGCUGGAGAGUCAGAGACCUGCCUGGAGUCCUGGCUUUGCUUGACCCCUCUGGGUGGCUUCGGGCAUGUGGCCUCUCCAAUUUGGCCUGUGACUUGAGAAAGUCUGAUGACAUGGGCUCUGGACUUGUUGUCCUCCUGUGGCCUGGGAGCCCUGCAGUCCCCAAGAGACAUCUGUGACCAGAGGAAGUGAGUGAGAUGGUGAUGGACAGUAGGAGCGGGGGGUUGUGACACCCUCGCUCCUGCAGUGGGAGGGGUGAUCACAGCCAGGAGCCUCUGGUCCCCACGAAGAGCCCCACCACUCCCCUCAGCCCCUCUGCAGUUGCUGCCCCUCAGAUUCAAUUUCCAGCUCAGCUUUCACAUCGAGCUCCAGCCAGUAACUUUACCGGAGAAAAUGAUUAUGUGAUUAUUUCAACCUUGCUCCAAACACUGUUUUAAUUGGAUCUGGGAAAAGGCGAUUUGGGCAUCAGAGGGCCCCUGCGGGGGCGGAGCAGCAUGGGAAUGUCAGGCAGAGGCCUGCUAGCUCCUGAGCCGUAAAAGGCAGUGAAUGCUUCUGAGCCACCCCCCAGACCCCCAGCCUUGCCCUGAUAUUCAUCCCAGAUCUGGGUGAGCCUCAGCAGGAAAGAGGAAAUUUGAGGGGUGGGGGUGCUUCCCGGGCAAGCAGGUUGGGGAGGGGAGCUUGCGAGGGGGACAGGAGUCCAGCAGCCGUGUUUCCCGCCCAAAGCAGCCCUCAGCCACUUAGAAAACUGCUUUUCUGCCUAUCUCCCUUCUCUGCUUCCAGCUCAGCCCACCUGGGAGCAAAUUUUUGCUCAAACACUAGCCCAAGGAAGCAGAAUUGGAAAGAACAUCUGAUUUUCCAGAAUCCAGCAGAGCCUUCUAGAGUGAUUUGGGAUUAUCUGCUCCAGGGAUCACCCUGCCAGCUUUCUCCCUCCUAGACAGAUGAUUGGGAUUUGACUAGAUACUAAUCUUUCUAAGCCUCAGUUUCCUCAACUGUGAAAGAGAGGGUUGGUCCUAGGUGACCCCUAAGGCCCUUCCGAGUUCUGAAGGAAGCUAUUUUAGCUGAUUCCCUGUGUGUCCUCCAUGAGGCUGGAGAAGUCCAACCACAGCUCCUUGGUGGCCAAUUCUGUGGGGACACUUGUGGGCUCCCAGCCUUGCAGGGCCCACCUGCUCCAGCGGCUAAGCUUGUCCCUCCCCAUCCCUGAGCCAGAGCUCAGUCAGGUGCCAGGUAGAGAAAGUGAGCCUCGGAUUGGGGCAGGAGGGCAGGGGUGGGGUGUGUCCCACAGGUAGCGGGGUCGCCAGGAAGGACACAAUGUAAGGCCCACCUUUGAUUCCAUGUGUCUCGGGCUCUCUCUCUGCCUACUUCCACCCAUCACCUUAACAAACACCAUGUCAAUUUUUAAAAUUGCUUGAAAGCUGCCAUUGUGGAGAAUGUGCUCUGGGGAGCUCCCCAGAGCAGGAAAGAAUGUGCACCCCCCGCACAUCCCCACCAAGACAUAGGCACUGAGACUGCGGAGAAGACUGGCCAGGCCCUGGCAGACUCCAGCAUCCACCAGUCAUCAGCAAGCAUUUACCGGGCACUUGGUGGGCAUGGGUGGAGGGACAGCGAGGCAGGGGCAAAGGAAUAAAAGGUGUUGGUUAAAUUCAUUCACCAGUUAAUGAGUACCUACUGGGUGCCAGGUAUGGAGCCAGUGCCACCAUGGGGAAGCUGACAAACUGGUCUGGGAGACAGGACACCUCCUUCCCGGAAUAACCUGGAACUUUGAGACUUGGCAGAAAAGAUCGUGAAGAAAUGAGUCCCUAGGCCUCAGCAGCCAUUAGUCUCAAAAGGACGAAGCCCAGAUAGACUUCCUGCAGGAAGGAGGCUGGGGCGUGGUUUGGCCAUGGGAAGAUCAGUGGGCAUUCCAAAGGACCCCACAGCCGAGAUGCUCAGGGAGAAGAGGCAGGGAGGGAGAGAGAAGGUAACCCUCGUGUUUGCAUCUUGUGCCUCACAACACCCCCUAGAGGGGGCAACAGUCAUCUCCAUUUUACAGAUGGGGGUCCUGAGAUCAAGACAGGUUCAGACACUUGCCAGGGCCACACACAGCCACGAGGGACAGAAAGCAAGAUCUGCCCGUGCCCCACAGCCUGUCCUUUCCGGGGGCCACCUCGCCUCUCCCUGAGCAGGCUGGCCUCAUGCUGGGAGCACCGGCAGGCAGAAGCCCAGGGCUCCAUUGGGAAUUAGGAGGCCGGUUCCUGGGGGAUUUUUGGGAUCCAUGAGGAUCAGGGAAUAAGAUCUGAGACAAACAGGACCCCAGCCCUACAGGUGAGUGCCCGCUUGGGGAUGGGGGUUUCAAAGGCACAGAUCACGGGGAGAAAAUUAAAUUGUCAAAGAGGAAAACCAGCACUGCCAUCCCUCCUUCACUCAUUAAUUUCUGAGGAAGUAUUAGCUGUCAGCAAGCAGCGGCCCUCCAAUUCAAAUUACAGAAUUUGAAUUCUUAAUUUCUCCUAAUCCAUCAGUGAGCUGCCUUCCUGGGCUAAUAUUAGCAGCACUGGCGAGGCUUGUAGCAGAGUCAUUGAUGUCUCCCUCCCUCUGAAGAAAGCCUAAUCGAUAGGGCUGGGCCUGGGGUGGGCCCCUCAGAGGCAGGGACCCCCUCCUCACUCCCCAGCUGCCUCCAGUCCCAGGAAGAGAUUGUGGAACUUUAGGGAGGUCCCUGGAGAGACAGGAGAACAAAGAAGAGGGAAGACAUAAUCAGAACCUGACAGAGACGUGGAACAAGGGAGGGAGGGUGAGACCCAGGGAAAGACAAAAUUAGCGAGACCAGGAGAGGUGGAAGCAGAGAGUGAUGGAGACUGAAUCAGAGGCCCAAAGAGGUGGAUGGAGACUGAGAUGGAGAGGAGGCAGGGAGCCCUCCAGAACCUAGGGUCAGAGCAACCCGCACACUGUCUUUGUUCAGGAGAAAACACAGCAAAGCAAAACCAAAGCACCAGGGGACUCUCAGGCAUCUUGGGGAGUUUCGUGCCCCACGGAGAACAUGGUCCCCAUAACCCUGGGCCCACUAGAACACUUUGGUGUCCUGGAGUCAGGUACCUUGAAUCCAAUCAUAGCUCAAAGGUCUCCUCUGCCAGGAAGCUCUCUUGCUUUCCAUCCCUUUCCCCUUGGGCGGUAGCACCCUCUCCUGCUCAGCUCCCUGGGUCCUGGAGACAUUGCACCGCUGCUUCUCUGCACAGGUGGGGAGAGCAUGGGCGAUGAGACCAUUGGGGGCGGGGAAGGCUGCUGGGCUAGGCACCAGACAGGCGUUUCCUAUUGAUCUCUUCAACAAGGCCGUGAGGUUGGGACUAUUAUUACCCUCGCUUAACAGAUGAGGAAACAGGCACAGUUAGGUCACUUGCCCAAGGUCAUGGGGCAAUAAAGUAGCGGUGUCAGGAUUUGAACCCGAGCAGGCUGACUCCAAAGCAAAGUGGUUAAACCCUGUGACAGAACCUUGGGGGAACCCCCAGGGGGUUGUAUAUGGUGCAGUCCCUGUUCUUUUUGAACCACAGAAGGAUGAAGGACAUGCCAGGCCAGCCCCAUGACUUCCUCAUGUGACCCCACUUCCAUCAGCUAGUCUUCUUCUUAACAUCCAGAUAGCCUCAUACUUCCAGCCCUCGUCCAGCUCACACUGCUCCCUCCUGCCUUUCAAUCUCCCAAAUCCAACCCUUCAUCCAGGCAGACCCAAUUCAAGUCAGGCCUUCAGCCGGAAGCUUUCUGGUAGCCCCUGUCCCUCCCUGGCUGGGUCCUGGCCCUUUCUGUGAAUGACCUUCCUCCUCAGCAAGUUGUGAGCCCCUGUGCACAGCCUGGGUGCCCUCCAACAUCCUAGGACUCAGCCUUGCCUGGGCAAGUGCUCAGUAAAUAUUUGUGGACUUAUCAACUGAUUGAUUGGUGAAGUGAAGACAAGAGGCCUAGGACAAAGACGCCUGAGAACUGAGCAGUGUCCCUGUCACCCUGGGCCCUGGGGAAGUGUCAGGGAGCCAGAGACACACAGGCGGGGACUCCAGGCCCCAGCAGCAGUGUGGGCAGAGCAGCACUCCAGACUGCUCUCCCAGCUGCCCUCAGGAGACCCCGUCUUCCCAGGUUAGAGGACUUGGGAUGUGAGUGGGGAAGGGAGAAACAGGGGCCCCUCAACUUGAGAAGGGAGCCCUACAGGCUGCUCUUGAAGCUCCUCUCUCUCCCCAGCUCUGCCCAGGCCCAGGGUCUUCAUCAGGGUUGAGGCCACUGUCCCCCCUCCCUUUGCUGCUCCUGCUGCUCCUCCUCCCCAAUCUGAGAAGCUGGGCCUGAAUAGAACUAUUUUGGGCCAAGCCUCUGAAUUAUGCAAGGUCUGGCCAGAGCCCGCCUGUCCUGAUUGGUGGCAAUGGUGGUUCGGAAUAGGAGACCACUGUGUUCCGUUUUUGGCAAAUGCAUUUCAGUUGCCAGGUGCCAGGUGGAGUGCGAUGGGGUUGCAUGCAUUUGUUUGUGUAGAUUUUGUGACUGAAAGGUUGUGGGUGUGCAUGAACAGUUAUGGGACCACAGCUUCCCAGAGACCUUUCCCACCCUCUGAAGCUCUAAAAGCAUAGACCCCUGGGCCCAGCACCUCGUGGUCCCAAAAUCUGUGUAUCUGGCCAACAGCCAGUAUGAAUGGAGGCCCACCUUCAUGUGGGAUGAUGACACAAGUCAUCCUCCCCCUACCCUGCCCCUGGAGCCAGAUGGACAGAAAAGAGAUAUCACCCCAUCAGGGCAGAUCCAGGAGCGGUGAAGGAGAGGCAUCCACUGCCUGACAAUAAGAGCCGUGAUGGCCACUAUGGGUUGAGAACUUUCUCUGAGUUCAGGCACUUUGCAUACAUGAACUGAAUUAAAUGUCACAGCACUUCUAUACGGUAUGUACUAUUAUUCCCAUUUUACUGAUGAGGAAACUAAGGGUCAGAAAGACUAAGAAACUUGCUCAAGAUCACACAUGUGGAACAAGCAGAAUCAAAAUUCAGACAGCUAUGGAAAUAAUAAGGCAAACCACAGCCCGGGAAACUAUUUCCAAUAGAUACAUCUGACGAAGCAAACUCUUACAACUCAAAAAUAAGAAGACAAACAAUCUAAUUUUAAAACAGUGAAAAGAAGCUAUCGAUGGCCGACCUGCACGUGAAAAAGACAUUUGACAUCAUUUGUUAUCAGGUAAAUGCGAAUUAAAACCACAAUGACGUACCGCUACACACCCAUCAGAAGUCUGACAAGCUGAGUGUUGGUCAAGUUGUGGAGCAACUGGAACUCUUGUCACUGAGCGUAGAAAUGCACGAUGAUACAGCUACUUCAGAAAACAGCCUGCCAGUCAAACAUACAGUGACCCUGGGGCCCAGUCAUUCCACUCUUAGGUAUUUACCCAAUAAAAAAAACAUAUAUUCACACAAAGAGUCGUACACACGUGUUCAUGGCAGCUUUACUCACAGCAGUCCAAUCCCGGAAACAGCAAAAUGUCCAUCAACACGUGGCCAAAUUGUCCUAUUUCAUACAAUGGGAUCCCACUCAGCAAUAAAAAGGUGUAAACUAUUGACAAAACAACAAGGUGGAUGAAUCUCAUAAAUACUGUGAAAAGCAAAAAGCAACCAGAUGCCAAGAGUACACAUUACAUAAUCCCAUUUAUAUGAAACUCUAGAAAAGACAAAUCUGAUCUAUAGUGACAGAAAGCAGACAGUGGUUGCCUGGGGCUGGGGGAAGGGUGGGGUCCACCGGGAAGGGGCACGAGGGAGCUUUUUGGGAUGAUAAAAAUGUUCUUAUUCUGAUUGUAGUGGCGG